UACUUGCUUCUUCUACAUUACUAAACUCUUCUACUUAUUUCUUCUACAUUACUAAAUCUUUUUUUCUUUCAUCAUAUAGUACUUCUCAACAAUCCCAUAGAGAAGUACUAUAUUUGCAGUCUCUCUCUCUCUCUCUCACACACGCACACAUAUUGAUAGAGGGUACUAGAUGAUGGCAUGUAUUAGUGUUGACAGAAGAUAGAGAGCACAGAUGAUGAAAUGCUUGCAUAUAUGGAGCAUUUCUCCCCCCGCAUCUCACUCAUUCGUGCUCUCUAUGCUUCUGUCAUCACAUUAUGAUACGCUUGAAUCUCAUACCCAUAUAUAUACACACACUACUCAGCUUCUGGUACUACUACCAUAUUGGUUUUCCAUUAAGAUAUUUAUUAUCAUGUUGCACUAGCUAGAAACAAUGGAUGGUAAAGGAUAAAUCACGUUCCCCACUAACUAUAGGACUGAUCUUUCACAUGGGAAUUAGAAGAUGCUGACAUGAUGUGUGUGAAUUAGUUAGCCCUGCAUAAACAGGUGAUAUGUCGGUGUGAUAUAACUGUAUGCAUUAAACUGAUUCAGGUCGAGAAAUCGAUUCUUGCUAAAUAUAUAAGUAUCUAACUUCAUCUUAAUUGCAGUUUUGCAGUUUUAUUUACAAUCUGUUGAUAUCAUUAGAUGGAUGACUCAACAACUAAUCACUCAGGGAUCCGAGUUCCGAAAAUCACCUUCUUUUUUUCCUGAUCAGAAAAACACCUGUGUUGUAUUGUGUUUAAACAUGGAUUUCAUGCAAUUUCAUUUCAUGUUGGGGGUAGAGCUACCAGAGGAACUAGUAUUUUAUGCACUACUGAGUACUGAUACUCUUCUUUAACAUCUUUACUUCAAUAGUACUGGCGUGGCGCCCUAUAUAUAUAUAUAUAUAGAUGAGGAUUCACAAGGACGUACAACACUUCCCUCUUCUUUAUAACAAGACCAUUCUGAACCUAUGAGAAGUUAGAAGAACAUGGCAGUUUUUAUUCAUUGGCAGCUGAAUGCACACAAGAUGUGUCACAUGUUUAUGCAUCUUCUCUAGUUUUUAUUCUUUGGUUUUCCAUAUCAAUAUAUGACAAUAUAGAACCUCAUUUUAUAAAUUUUAUUCAGAAUUCAGAAAAGAAUACAUAUGAUUUAAUUUGUUACAAUAAUCAAUAGUUGGAUGAAUGCUUAAACAA
Papaver somniferum (opium poppy) is the source of this 1190-nucleotide long non-coding RNA. RefSeq lists it as uncharacterized. The record is from RefSeq and is a predicted model, not a curated record. The transcript has 2 exons. NCBI's taxonomy places the organism in Eukaryota, Viridiplantae, Streptophyta, Magnoliopsida, Ranunculales, Papaveraceae.